RNAcentral lists this ribosomal RNA (439 nucleotides) under uncultured bacterium. RNAcentral's name for it is "partial 16S ribosomal RNA". It matches the Rfam family "Bacterial small subunit ribosomal RNA", at positions 339 to 795 of the family's 1533-position model. The record is from RNAcentral.
CUACGGGUCGCUCCAGUGAGGAAUAUUGCACAAUGGGGGGAACCCUGAUGCAGCAACGCCGUGUGGAGGAUGACGCAUUUCGGUGUGUAAACUCCUUUUAUAUGUCAAGAAAAUGACGGUAGCAUAUGAAUAAGCACCGGCUAACUCCGUGCCAGCAGCCGCGGUAAUACGGAGGGUGCAAGCGUUACUCGGAAUCACUGGGCGUAAAGGACGCGUAGGCGGGUUGGAAAGUCAGGUGUGAAAUCCUACAGCUUAACUGUAGAACUGCACUUGAAACUUCUAAUCUAGAGUAUGGGAGGGGGAGAUGGAAUUAGUGGUGUAGGGGUAAAAUCCGUAGAUAUCACUAGGAAUACCUAAAGCGAAGGCGAUCUCCUGGAACAUUACUGACGCUAAGGCGUGAAGGCGUGGGGAGCAAACAGGAUUAGAUACCCGUGUAGUC